RNAcentral lists this ribosomal RNA (491 nucleotides) under uncultured Polaribacter sp. RNAcentral describes it as "bacterial SSU rRNA". It matches the Rfam family "Bacterial small subunit ribosomal RNA", at positions 39 to 524 of the family's 1533-position model. Lineage: Bacteria; Pseudomonadati; Bacteroidota; Flavobacteriia; Flavobacteriales; Flavobacteriaceae. The record is from RNAcentral.
GGACAUCGGCAGGCUUACCAUGCAAGUCGAGGGGUAACAUUGUGCUUGCACAGAUGACGACCGGCGCACGGGUGCGUAACGCGUAUAGAACCUACCUUUUACAGAGGAAUAGCCUUUAGAAAUGAAGAUUAAUGCCUCAUAGUAUUGAGUAAUCGCAUGAUUAUUUAAUUAAAGAUUUAUCGGUAAAAGAUGGCUAUGCGUCCUAUUAGUUAGUUGGUAAGGUAACGGCUUACCAAGACAUCGAUAGGUAGGGGUCCUGAGAGGGAGAUCCCCCACACUGGUACUGAGACACGGACCAGACUCCUACGGGAGGCAGCAGUGAGGAAUAUUGGACAAUGGAGGAGACUCUGAUCCAGCCAUGCCGCGUGUAGGAAGAAUGCCCUAUGGGUUGUAAACUACUUUUAUACAGGAAGAAACACUGGUAUGUAUACCAGCUUGACGGUACUGUAAGAAUAAGGACCGGCUAACUCCGUGCCAGCAGCCGCGGUAAC